CGCAGCCGCGGUAAUUCCAGCUCCAAUAGCGUAUAUUAAAGUUGUUGCAGUUAAAAAGCUCGUAGUUGAAUUUCGGGGUUAGUAGGUUGGUCAUGCCUCUGGUAUGUACUGGUCUCACUGAUUCCUCCUUCCUGAUGAACCUUAAUGCCAUUAAUUUGGUGUUUUGGGGAAUUUGGACUGUUACUUUGAAAAAAUUAGAGUGUUUAAAGCAAGCUAACGCUUGAAUACAUUAGCAUGGAAUAAUGAAAUAGGACGUUCGAUCCUAUUUUGUUGGUUUCUAGGAUUGACGUAAUGAUUAAUAGGGAUAGUUGGGGGCAUUAGUAUUCAAUUGUCAGAGGUGAAAUUCUUGGAUUUAUUGAAGACUAACUACUGCGAAAGCAUUUGCCAAGGAUGUUUUCAUUAAUCAAGAACGAAAGUUAGGGGAUCGAAGACGAUCAGAUACCGUCGUAGUCUUAACCAUAAACUAUGCCGACUAGGAGUCGGAUGAUGUUUUAAUUUUUAAUUGUACUCAUUCGGCGUC
Molecule: ribosomal RNA, 520 nt
Filed under: uncultured Glomus
Lineage: Eukaryota; Fungi; Glomeromycota; Glomeromycetes; Glomerales; Glomeraceae
Description: SSU rRNA
Rfam family: Eukaryotic small subunit ribosomal RNA
Source: RNAcentral